UAGGGAAUCUUCCACAAUGGGCGAAAGCCUGAUGGAGCAACGCCGCGUGUGUGAUGAAGGCUUUCGGGUCGUAAAGCACUGUUGUAUGGGAAGAACAGCUAGAAUAGGAAAUGAUUUUAGUUUGACGGUACCAUACCAGAAAGGGACGGCUAAAUACGUGCCCG
This 164-nucleotide ribosomal RNA is filed under the name uncultured bacterium. Its description in RNAcentral is "partial 16S ribosomal RNA". It matches the Rfam family "Bacterial small subunit ribosomal RNA", at positions 355 to 511 of the family's 1533-position model. The record is from RNAcentral.